AUUGAACGCUGGCGGCAGGCUUAACACAUGCAAGUCGAGCGGCAGAACGGAGUUUGCCCUUGCAGUGAGUGGCGGACGGGUGAGUAAUGCCUAGGAACCUGCCCGGUAGUGGGGGAUAACGUCCCGAAAGCGGCGCUAAUACCGCAUACGUCCUGAGGGUGAAAGCGGGGGACCGUAAGACCUCACGCUAUUAGAGGGGCCUAUGUCGGAUUAGCUAGUUGGUGGGGUAAAGGCCUACCAAGGCGACGAUCCGUAGCUGGUCUGAGAGGAUGAUCAGCCACACUGGAACUGAGACACGGUCCAGACUCCUACGGGAGGCAGCAGUGGGGAAUAUUGGACAAUGGGCGCAAGCCUGAUCCAGCCAUGCCGCGUGUGUGAAGAAGGUCUUCGGAUUGUAAAGCACUUUUGGUUGGGAAGAAGGGCAGUAAGUUAAUACCUUGCUGUUUUGACGUUACCAGCAGAAUAAGCACCGGCUAACUUCGUG
RNAcentral lists this ribosomal RNA (484 nucleotides) under uncultured bacterium. Its description in RNAcentral is "partial 16S ribosomal RNA". It matches the Rfam family "Bacterial small subunit ribosomal RNA", at positions 30 to 507 of the family's 1533-position model. The record is from RNAcentral.